Molecule: ribosomal RNA, 475 nt
Filed under: uncultured Thiobacillus sp.
Lineage: Bacteria; Pseudomonadati; Pseudomonadota; Betaproteobacteria; Nitrosomonadales; Thiobacillaceae
Description: bacterial SSU rRNA
Rfam family: Bacterial small subunit ribosomal RNA
Source: RNAcentral
AAAUUGACGGGGGCCCGCACAAGCGGUGGAUUAUGUGGAUUAAUUCGAUGCAACGCGAAAACCUUACUACCCUUGACAUGCCAGGAACUUGCCAGAGAUGGCUUGGUGCCCGAAAGGGAGCCUGGACACAGGUGCUGCAUGGCUGUCGUCAGCUCGUGUCGUGAGAUGUUGGGUUAAGUCCCGCAACGAGCGCAACCCUUGUCAUUAAUUGCCAUCAUUCAGUUGGGCACUUUAAUGAGACUGCCGGUGACAAACCGGAGGAAGGUGGGGAUGACGUCAAGUCCUCAUGGCCCUUAUGGGUAGGGCUUCACACGUAAUACAAUGGUCGGUACAGAGGGUUGCCAACCCGCGAGGGGGAGCUAAUCCCAGAAAACCGAUCGUAGUCCGGAUUGCAGUCUGCAACUCGACUGCAUGAAGUCGGAAUCGCUAGUAAUCGCGGAUCAGCAUGUCGCGGUCGAAUACGUUCCCGGGCCUU